RNAcentral lists this ribosomal RNA (254 nucleotides) under uncultured bacterium. RNAcentral describes it as "partial 16S ribosomal RNA". It matches the Rfam family "Bacterial small subunit ribosomal RNA", at positions 524 to 776 of the family's 1533-position model. The record is from RNAcentral.
UACGGGGGGAGCAAGCGUUGUUCGGAUUUACUGGGCGUAAAGGGCGCGUAGGCGGCCACCGCAAGUCGACUGUGAAAUCUCCGGGCUUAACCCGGAAAGGUCAGCCGAUACUGCGGGGCUAGAGUGCAGAAGGGGCAACUGGAAUUCUCGGUGUAGCGGUGAAAUGCGUAGAUAUCGAGAGGAACACCUGCGGCGAAGGCGGGUUGCUGGGCUGACACUGACGCUGAUGUGCGAAAGCUAGGGGAGCAAACGGG